RNAcentral lists this ribosomal RNA (396 nucleotides) under uncultured bacterium. RNAcentral describes it as "partial 16S ribosomal RNA". It matches the Rfam family "Bacterial small subunit ribosomal RNA", at positions 523 to 918 of the family's 1533-position model. The record is from RNAcentral.
AUACAGAGGGUGCAAGCGUUAAUCGGAUUUACUGGGCGUAAAGCGCGCGUAGGUGGCUAAUUAAGUCAAAUGUGAAAUCCCCGAGCUUAACUUGGGAAUUGCAUUCGAUACUGGUUAGCUAGAGUAUGGGAGAGGAUGGUAGAAUUCCAGGUGUAGCGGUGAAAUGCGUAGAGAUCUGGAGGAAUACCGAUGGCGAAGGCAGCCAACGGGCCUAAUACUGACACUGAGGUGCGAAAGCAUGGGUAGCAAUCAGGAUUAGAUACCCUGGUAGUCCAUGCCGUAAACGAUGUCUACUAGCCGUUGGGGCCCUUGAGGCUUUAGUGGCGCAGCUAACGCGAUAAGUAGACCGCCUGGGGAGUACGGUCGCAAGACUAAAACUCAAAUGAAUUGACGGGG